AAAGUGCUCCAUAAAUAAAAUGUAUUAUGAAGACGAUGAUCCUUACGAUUGAAUUCAUCCCUCCGAUCGCACGGAUACGACCGACGGCGCGGGAACAAAAAAGCCCCAAAAGAACCCCCCCGCAAAAAAAACCAAGCGUUGUGCAUCCGAAAGCAAACUUUCCGACACAAGCAAGUCCAGCCGCGUGCCAACAACAGACGCGCACAAAAGACCAGAAGAACGGGAAAAACUACAAAGACGGGGAGAGAGCGCGAGCGGUGACAAAUAAACACGACUCUUCCUGAAGUCCAAAGAGGCGCUAAUGAAGAGAGAAUUCUCCAGUUCAAAACGUUCCAGCAAAAUGCACUUUCGG
This is a long non-coding RNA of Hippocampus comes (tiger tail seahorse), 352 nucleotides long. RefSeq lists it as uncharacterized. The transcript is spliced from 3 exons. Lineage: Eukaryota; Metazoa; Chordata; Actinopteri; Syngnathiformes; Syngnathidae. The record is from RefSeq and is a predicted model, not a curated record.